GAUGAAGAACGUAGCGAAAUGCGAUAAGUAAUGUGAAUUGCAGAAUUCAGUGAAUCAUCGAAUCUUUGAACGCACCUUGCGCUCCUUGGUAUUCCGAGGAGCAUGCCUGUUUGAGUGUCAUUAAAUUCUCAACCUCACCAGUUUUGUAACGAGACAGGUGAAGGCUUGGAUGUGGGGGUUUUGCAGGCUGCCUCAGUGCUGGUCUGCUCUCCUGAAAUGCAUUAGCGAGCUCAUAUUGAGCUUCCGUCUAUUGGUGUGAUAAUUAUCUACGCCGUGGAUUGGACUCAUGCUUGCUUCUAACCGUCCGCAAGGACAAUUUACUUGACCAAUUUGACCUCAAAUCAGGUAGGACUACCCGCUGAACUUAAGCAUAUCAAUAAGCGGAGGA
RNAcentral lists this unclassified non-coding RNA (388 nucleotides) under soil metagenome. Its description in RNAcentral is "partial contains 5.8S ribosomal RNA, internal transcribed spacer 2, and large subunit ribosomal RNA". The stretch from base 1 to 120 matches the Rfam family "5.8S ribosomal RNA", at positions 35 to 154 of the family's 154-position model. The record is from RNAcentral.